This 484-nucleotide ribosomal RNA is filed under the name uncultured bacterium. RNAcentral's name for it is "partial 16S ribosomal RNA". It matches the Rfam family "Bacterial small subunit ribosomal RNA", at positions 30 to 507 of the family's 1533-position model. The record is from RNAcentral.
AUUGAACGCUGGCGGAAUGCUUUACACAUGCAAGUCGAACGGCAGCACGGGGGCAGCCCUGGUGGCGAGUGGCGAACGGGUGAGUAAUACAUCGGAACGUGCCCAGUCGUUGGGGAUAACGUAGCGAAAGUUACGCUAAUACCGCAUACGAUCUGAGGAUGAAAGCGGGGGACCUUCGGGCCUUGCGCGAUCGGAGCGUCCGAUGUCAGAUUAGGUAGUUGGUGGGGUAAAGGCCUACCAAGCCGACGAUCUGUAGCUGGUCUGAGAGGACGACCAGCCACACUGGGACUGAGACACGGCCCAGACUCCUACGGGAGGCAGCAGUGGGGAAUUUUGGACAAUGGGCGCAAGCCUGAUCCAGCCAUUCCGCGUGCAGGACGAAGGCCUUCGGGUUGUAAACUGCUUUUGUACGGAACGAAAAGGAUCUGGCUAAUACCUGGGGCUCAUGACGGUACCGUAAGAAUAAGCACCGGCUAACUACGUG